Molecule: small RNA, 27 nt
Filed under: Bombyx mori (domestic silkworm)
Lineage: Eukaryota; Metazoa; Arthropoda; Insecta; Lepidoptera; Bombycidae
Description: ovarian small RNA-17284
Source: RNAcentral
GGACGAUAUAAAAGCUAUUGCUGGCCC